UGGGAUGUAGCCAAGCGGUAAGGCACUAGACUCUGACUCUGGCAUCCGCAGGUUCAAAUCCUGCCAUCUCAGCCA
This 75-nucleotide transfer RNA is filed under the name Clostridium estertheticum. RNAcentral describes it as "tRNA-Gln". It matches the Rfam family "tRNA". Rfam says of the family: Transfer RNA (tRNA) molecules are approximately 80 nucleotides in length. RNAcentral also lists the same sequence under 9 other names. Lineage: Bacteria; Bacillati; Bacillota; Clostridia; Eubacteriales; Clostridiaceae. The record is from RNAcentral.